AGAAACCGCUGCGUGAGGCCCAAGUGACAUCUGGACACUGCGUGGCGUUGGCGCCUCCCGGAGUGGCGGGCCGGGCGCCGGGUCGGGUAGGCGGAGCCGAGCCCCAGCCCCCGGGACCCUGGCCGAAUCCGGGCGUCCCCGCUGCUGCCUGCACCCCCCGCGUUGCCCGGCGAGUCAGGCUGGGUCCGAGAACCGGGUCCGUUCACCCCGGCAGUUUUUUAUUUUCGGUUUCAAAGACGCAGCCGGACGCUUCUUCCUCUUUUCUCCUCCCGCGCCGCUCCCCUCCCCCUCCGAGCUGCUCUCCGCCUCGCCACCCGGGCUCCCCCGGCUCCCCGCGCUCCCGGCGCCGCCGCCUCCGGCCCGGAGCUCUUACACCCUUCACUCCCUCCCCCAACCCCCCUCCCCCAGUUUCUCUCCAGAUCGCCGAUCCUUUCUUCCUCUACACCCUCCCGCCCCCCUUCCCCGCGGUGGUCCACUCUGAGCCCCGGGAUCCCCCGGGUUAAGGAGAGGAAGGGGCUGCAUGGAGGAGAGGCAAGCCGAGGACGCGGAGCGGCUGAACGCUGCUGGCUGGAGCUCGGACGCGGGCUCUUAGCUCCCCGAGGCGGGAAGUCGAGCACAGCGCGCCGCUCUCGGGCGGGCGGAGCCGAUCCCCCACGUCCGGGGCCUGUGGCUGGUUUGGCGCAGUAGGAUGCGAGUUCUCUGAGAUGGCUCCAGCUUUCCCCACACCCCCACCCUAAGCAGACAACCAAAAACAACCGUCAUAGGAGAGAUGGACUGGUGAAACACAUUCAAUCAUGAAUCAUAACACGGGAAUUUCAUUUCUGGACAACAAAGGAGAGACUCUUUUGAGGAGUUUUAUAUGUCCAUGUGACUUUGAGGCUCAAACCUGAAACUUCAGAUAUGGAAGUCCUAUGCUUUUCCAGCCAAGCUGCAUUUUUAAACAGAGAAAAAUGAUUGUCUACUGUGGAUCAGCCAAUUUGCGCCAGGAACAUACAGGGAAGGUCACUGUACUACUUAAACCUGCUUUUGUGUCCCACCCCAUGAUGUCUUAGGAUACAAGCUUUCUCCCUCAGGUAACUCUUGAUUAUCAAAGCUCCAUGAGUAAUUCCCCAAUAUUGUACAUGUCUAAACUGAGAAUCACAAUGGUUUAAGUCAAAAGACACCAAAGCAAUAUUUAAAAACUAUUAUUUGAGUAUAUAUGACAAAAAAUAGCUUCUGAAAGGUAUGAACAUUAUGUAAAAGAGUAAAGAGAUAACCAAGAAGAAAAAAUGAGCAAACAUAUACUAAAGGAUAUGCAAAUAGUAAAAUGACGAAAUUACACAAGGAACACUAUUCAGUUCAUUGAAGCAAAUGAUUGUAAUAGAAACAAUGGCAUAUAUCUAGAGGUGUGGCAAAAAUAAAAUGAGUAAGGGUGGGGUAGAUAGCAUAAUGAUUAUGCAGAGGGACUCUCAUACCUGAGGCUCCAAAGUCCCCGGUUCAAUUCACUGCACCACUAUAAGCCAGAGCUGAAUAGUGCUCUGGUAAAAAUAAAAUAAAAUAAAAUAAAAUAAAAUAAAAUAAAAUAAAAUAAAAUAAAAUAAAAUGAGUGAUGAUGUUGACAAAGCUCAUAGUAAACAGCUUUUCUUAGACAUAUGUAACUUUAUAUAAAUAACUGUAGAAAACAAUACAUUAUUUUCAAAAUUGCAUGUGCAUAUUUGUGACCCUGCAG
This is a long non-coding RNA of Erinaceus europaeus (western European hedgehog), 1708 nucleotides long. RefSeq lists it as uncharacterized. The transcript is spliced from 3 exons. Lineage: Eukaryota; Metazoa; Chordata; Mammalia; Eulipotyphla; Erinaceidae. The record is from RefSeq and is a predicted model, not a curated record.